This 492-nucleotide ribosomal RNA is filed under the name uncultured bacterium. RNAcentral describes it as "partial 16S ribosomal RNA". It matches the Rfam family "Bacterial small subunit ribosomal RNA", at positions 29 to 507 of the family's 1533-position model. The record is from RNAcentral.
AGUGAACGCUGGCGGUAGGCCUAACACAUGCAAGUCGAACGGCAGCACAGUAAGAGCUUGCUCUUACGGGUGGCGAGUGGCGGACGGGUGAGGAAUACAUCGGAAUCUACUUUUUCGUGGGGGAUAACGUAGGGAAACUUACGCUAAUACCGCAUACGACCUACGGGUGAAAGCAGGGGAUCUUCGGACCUUGCGCGAUUGAAGGAGCCGAUGUCGGAUUAGCUAGUUGGCGGGGUAAAGGCCCACCAAGGCGACGAUCCGUAGCUGGUCUGAGAGGAUGAUCAGCCAGACUGGAACUGAGACACGGUCCAGACUCCUACGGGAGGCAGCAGUGGGGAAUAUUGGACAAUGGGCGCAAGCCUGAUCCAGCCAUACCGCGUGGGUGAAGAAGGACUUCGGGUUGUAAAGCCCUUUUGUUGGGAAAGAAAAGCAGCAGGUUAAUACCCCGCUGUUCUGACGGUACCCAAAGAAUAAGCACCGGCUAACUUCGUG